Chiloscyllium plagiosum (whitespotted bambooshark) is the source of this 104-nucleotide small nuclear RNA. The record is from RefSeq and is a predicted model, not a curated record. Lineage: Eukaryota; Metazoa; Chordata; Chondrichthyes; Orectolobiformes; Hemiscylliidae.
GUUAUUUCGGCAGCUCGUAUACUAAAAUUGGAAUGGUAAAAGGAAGAUCAGCAGGGCCCCUGCCGAAGGAUGACAUGCAAAUUUGUGAAGUGUAAACUUUUACA